This is a small nuclear RNA of Peromyscus californicus insignis, 191 nucleotides long. RefSeq annotates it as U2 spliceosomal RNA. NCBI's taxonomy places the organism in Eukaryota, Metazoa, Chordata, Mammalia, Rodentia, Cricetidae. The transcript has a single exon. The record is from RefSeq and is a predicted model, not a curated record.
AUCGCUUCUCGGCCUUUUGGCUAAGAUCAAGUGUAGUAUCUGUUCUUAUCAGUUUAAUAAAUUACUUAGUUUCAGGAGCUCUGUUGUGGCAGCACAAGAUGGGCUUGGACACUAAGCAUUCAAGCCUCUUCUUCCAAUCCUAACAGCCAAAACAAAGUGAUAUGUGCACAAGGUACACAGAGGAACCCUCA